This 106-nucleotide transfer RNA is filed under the name Candidatus Hermodarchaeota archaeon. RNAcentral describes it as "tRNA-Lys". It matches the Rfam family "tRNA". From Rfam's summary of the family: Transfer RNA (tRNA) molecules are approximately 80 nucleotides in length. Their secondary structure includes four short double-helical elements and three loops (D, anti-codon, and T loops). Further hydrogen bonds mediate the characteristic L-shaped molecular structure. tRNAs have two regions of fundamental functional importance: the anti-codon, which is responsible for specific mRNA codon recognition, and the 3' end, to which the tRNAs corresponding amino acid is attached (by aminoacyl-tRNA synthetases). tRNAs cope with the degeneracy of the genetic code in two manners: having more than one tRNA (with a specific anti-codon) for a particular amino acid; and 'wobble' base-pairing, i.e. permitting non-standard base-pairing at the 3rd anti-codon position. Lineage: Archaea; Promethearchaeati; Candidatus Hermodarchaeota. The record is from RNAcentral.
GGGCUCGUAGCUUAGCCAGUCACGUCUGGAUGACCAACGUGGGUAAGGUUAGAGCAUCGGGCUUUUAACCCGAGGGUCGCGGGUUCAAGUCCCGCCGAGCCCGCCA